Molecule: ribosomal RNA, 480 nt
Filed under: Metschnikowia aff. fructicola sp. 1 NS-2016
Lineage: Eukaryota; Fungi; Ascomycota; Pichiomycetes; Serinales; Metschnikowiaceae
Description: eukaryotic LSU rRNA
Rfam family: Eukaryotic large subunit ribosomal RNA
Source: RNAcentral
CGGCAAAAGCUCAAAUUUGAAAUCCCCCGGGAAUUGUAAUUUGAAGAGAUUUGGGUCCGGCCGGCGGGGGUUAAGUCCACUGGAAAGUGGCGCCACAGAGGGUGACAGCCCCGUGAACCCCUUUAACGCCCUCAUCCCAGAUCUCCAAGAGUCGAGUUGUUUGGGAAUGCAGCUCUAAGUGGGUGGUAAAUUCCAUCUAAAGCUAAAUACCGGCGAGAGACCGAUAGCGAACAAGUACAGUGAUGGAAAGAUGAAAAGCACUUUGAAAAGAGAGUGAAAAAGUACGUGAAAUUGUUGAAAGGGAAGGGCUUGCAAGCAGACACUUAACUGGGCCAGCAUCGGGGCGGCGGGAAACAAAACCACCGGGGAAUGUACCUUUCGAGGAUUAUAACCCCGGUCUUUAUUUCCUUGUUGCCCCGAGGCCUGCAAUCUAAGGAUGCUGGCGUAAUGGUUGCAAGUCGCCCGUCUUGAAACACGGAC